UCUUCAAAUUUCUUAACAAAUGUAAUUUAUCUUAUUCAAUUAAAUUAAAUAAAAGAAACAAUUUUUACCAUUUUCUUAGAGUUAAUUAACUCUGGUCAAUUUCCAUUGUUACUGUAAAGGUCAGUGUCAUUAAACUGAAACAUAUAGUGCUGGAAACUUCACUAUUCUCCAAAUAUUUACAUGAAUAAUUGUACAUCUCUAACAUGAUCAAUUAACUAACUUCAACCUUUAUUAUGAAUAUCAGAAUAAAGCUAUAGAUCUGAAUUCACUUACUCCAAGCAUUAAAACAGAUGAAUUUUACACAUGCGCGUCUAACU
Molecule: long non-coding RNA, 317 nt
Filed under: Locusta migratoria (migratory locust)
Lineage: Eukaryota; Metazoa; Arthropoda; Insecta; Orthoptera; Acrididae
Description: partial Lnc50927
Source: RNAcentral